GAUGAACGCUGGCGGCGUGCCUAAUACAUGCAAGUCGCGCGAACAGACGAGGAGCUUGCUCCUCUGACGUUAGCGGCGGACGGGUGAGUAACACGUGGAUAACCUACCUAUAAGACUGGGAUAACUUCGGGAAACCGGAGCUAAUACCGGAUAAUAUAUUGAACCGCAUGGUUCAAUAGUGAAAGACGGUUUUGCUGUCACUUAUAGAUGGAUCCGCGCCGCAUUAGCUAGUUGGUAAGGUAACGGCUUACCAAGGCGACGAUGCGUAGCCGACCUGAGAGGGUGAUCGGCCACACUGGAACUGAGACACGGUCCAGACUCCUACGGGAGGCAGCAGUAGGGAAUCUUCCGCAAUGGGCGAAAGCCUGACGGAGCAACGCCGCGUGAGUGAUGAAGGUCUUCGGAUCGUAAAACUCUGUUAUUAGGGAAGAACAAAUGUGUAAGUAACUAUGCACGUCUUGACGGUACCUAAUCAGAAAGCCACGGCUAACUACGUG
RNAcentral lists this ribosomal RNA (497 nucleotides) under uncultured bacterium. Its description in RNAcentral is "partial 16S ribosomal RNA". It matches the Rfam family "Bacterial small subunit ribosomal RNA", at positions 28 to 507 of the family's 1533-position model. The record is from RNAcentral.